UUACGGUCAAAUCACGCUGAAACACCGGUUCUCGUUCGAUCACCGAAGUUAAGCAUCGUAGAGCCAGUCAGUACUUAGAUGGGGGACCGCUUGGGAACACCUGGUACUGUAAG
RNAcentral lists this ribosomal RNA (113 nucleotides) under Acanthosepion pharaonis. The record is from RNAcentral. Lineage: Eukaryota; Metazoa; Mollusca; Cephalopoda; Sepiida; Sepiidae.